AAGGGUUUAGAGUGGAGAUGAAGACCCUUCCAUACAAAAGGAAAAUAAGCUUGCAUUAAGCAAUAUUAUGGUACAUGGAGUCAUUGCCUAAAAGUUUAUGAUGAUUUUGGCAUGUGAGGAGUGAUCUCCUGGGAUUAUACCCACUUCAGAUAGGAUCAUGUAUGUUAAAGCAUUAAAAAAAUACAAAUUGCAAGAAGUUUUAUAAUGCUAAACUUUAACUUUGGUAUUUUAUAUUCAGAACAUGUACAGCAAAUUUAUGAGUAAAUAUUGUAAUAUUGAUGAAAACAUUCAAAGAGCAAUAAUAUUAUUUGGGGAUUUGUGAAAUUGCAUAUUGUGUGUUUUGGCUGUUGCAUUCAAAACAAAAUGAUAGGAGCACCAGUGUUUUCUUGUUUUCAUAUCUGCUUUUUAAAAAUUAUAUGUAGGAUUUGUCUUUUGUACACAUUUAUUAUCUUCAUAUUUUCAAUCAGAGAAGUUACACAGGAUGUAAUAUAAGAACUACUUUUAGGACUGCAUCUGUAAAUCAUCCUGGGAUGUAGAAAGGACCCAUACAUCAAGCUGACAGGGUUGAUGGCAUUAUUCACUUGCAACUCCUAUAUUCAGAUUCAAAGGAUCCUAGAAGAGUGUUUACUUAGAAAAGCUUUCCUGAUACAUGAAUCUUAUAUUCUUUUGGGUUACCAAAAUUUAAAUGUUAGUGCCCUAUAGAUUUCAACCUCAGAUUUCAGUGUGAACACCACAGGUAAACAUAGUGGACUUGAAAUAUUACAUUAGGAUGACUUCCCAUAGCACCUGACUCGAUUUCUAAAACACCAGUUUAUUAUAACCAUACAUCCAAACAAUGUUCUAAAAAUAAUUUGAAGCCAUAACAUACCUGUAAGCAGAGAUUAAUAUCUGGGCCAUAAAUCAACCUUCUCAGAGAACGACAAAUAUAUCUGAACACAACCAGGACCUGAAGCACGCACAAUUUAUUUUUUCUAAAACAACAAUUUAAAUAAAUGCAAGGGUAUUGCAGAGUAUUUAGUAAACAAAGAAACCAUCUAAAGAAGGAAAUAUAUUUUUUUUAAUGGCCUGCAAUACCAUUACCAAGGAAUAGCAACCUUUAAAAUCCCUUUUCAGAGCUACUGUUUUAUAUACACAUAUUAGGUUUACAUGGUAGCGAUCAUCAUGUAUAUGGGAUUUUGUGUGUAUUCUCUGCUUCUCGGAGCACUAAAUGCAAUCUAUUCAAAUUUCCAUGUCUUGAAAGGAACACUACCUGUGUGUUUUAAUUACUGCUUUGCCUAUUUGGGAAAGGAGGUUUGCCUAAUUUGUGCUUUGAUAAAUGUGACUAUUUUCCAGAAUGUACCAGUCAUAGAGAUUGUGCAAAGACAUGCAUCACUGCUUGGUAAGUCUUAAGGAGAGGAGUUAGUACAGAAAGCAGCAUAUGUCAAAUGUGGCAUUGUUGUAGCAGGAGCAGCCAUUACACUUUCUAGAAAGUUAUCAAAACAAGACAGAAAUCAGACAGAGGGAUGCUGGGGUAGCUCAGCAGUUGAGCGUCUGCUGGGUCAUGCUCAGGGUGUGAUCCCGAGUCCGAGGAUCGAGUCUCACAUCUGGCUCCCUGCAGGGAGCCUGCUUCUCCCUCUGACUGUAUCUCUGCCUCUCUCUUUGUGUCUCUCAUGAAUAAAUAAAUAAAAUCUUAAGGAAAAAAAAAGACAAAUCAGACAGAAAAGCAGACUGAAGAAACAAGAGUAACAAUAGGCCACCUCCCUUCCAAAACCACAACAUGCCCAAGGGAACUAGAAAGGUCCUUAUGACAAGAGCAAGCAAGGGUUGAGAAGAUACUGAGUUAUGAAGGUAUUUUUCAGGCAGUUAUAUUUGCAAACUGUUCUACUUCACCUCUUUCAGAUACAAGGUAGGAUUGCACGUUCGAGGCCUGUUGUGGUUGGAUUGCACCAUAGGAUGAGUUUCGCCAAAUGAGGUGUGAAAAGGUGCUCUGUAUCCUUUCCACACACACCACUCACUUGUCUGUGUGAGGCCUCAGACCUCUUCCUCCUGCAGAGUGACUGGCAGUGUUCAAGCUUAUGCUCAAUAGACACCCCCUGUGCCCCUCUGAUGACCAUGUAACAUGAAAGACAAAGAAACUUUCCUGUUUCCGGCCACAGAGAUUUGGGGUUGAUUUCACCACUGCCUAACUUAACUCGUUCUUACUCAUAAAAUGGUUUGGCCUUUGUGGAUUUUAUGUACAAUGUUUUGGAGUAGCUGUUGAGUAAACGUGCACUUUUCAUAUUUGAUCGUGGAAAAGACAUCAAAAGAUAUUUUAUAGGCUAAAGCAGUCACAGGUGAAGGAAGCCAAGAACGAACUGCAGUUACUGCAGGUCUGAGGCUUUGGGGAUGGUCCCUAAUUACACCAGUCAUCCUUGUAUAACUAUUGAUAAUAAUUUCUUUCCCUCCCCUAAGGUCCUUUGGAUGACAAGUUAUAUUGUAGCUCUACAAAAACAACAUGUUGACCUCUUUAUUCUUACCUCUUCCCACUGAAUAGGUUGUAUGACUUGUAUGUUAUUAUUAAUCUGAUUAAUAUAUUUGGUCCACUUCCAUAUCAGUAUUUUACUUCUCAUGUAUCAUAGUAUUGGAGUUCUUGAUAGACUAGCUCCUGGUGUUUUCAUUAGUGUACUAUGUAUUUUCCUCUGCUUUAUAAUAUACCAGUAUUUCUUUAGCUCUUUCCUUUUCACUGUCUUUUAAUAAACACAAGAAAGGUUAUUAUUUCAUAAACAUGUAACUAUUUAGCCAAUAAUCACUGUAACAGCAAAACAAAUGCCAAUAUAGAAUUUCUGUCAACUCAAAAGGAAAGUGACACCCAGUGUGAUUCAUUUAAGAUUUUUCAAAUUAUUUUCUAGGGCUCCAGGCUGACUAUAUGUAUUGAACACCCAUUCUUUUCUUUUCUUUUUUCUUUUUGACCCAGAAAUUGCAUCUGUCUAUUUAAAAUAUUUAGAAGCCAUUCGAAGUGUUUUCAGAAAUCUUGACUCUGAAAUAUUUGGCAAGAAUAGUCCAAAUAUAGUCCUGUAGUGUGGUCCUUUGGAGCAAAAUUAGAUGACACAGUGAGAAAGACUAGAAAAUAGUGUUGAAAUCAUGAACUUGUUCAAAUUAACUUCCCAAGUUCAAGUUUCUUGGGUUUAAUUCUCUCACAUGCACUUUCUUUCUUGACCUUGACAUUGUUUCUAAACAUCUGUAAUGGCUAUAUAUAAGAGUAACUAUUCCAUGAUCCGUGUUAUACCCACCUUGAAGAAACGAUCAAACAUCUUUGGUCAGACUGAUAAGAAACCUUUGGGUUCUUGACAAGUAUUGUCAAAAAGCCUCUGUUUCUAAACAGCAUAUUUUUAGCAUAGACUAAAUUACUGGUAUAUUUUUCUCCAAUUCAUGCUAGGGAAAAAAAAAAAAAA
Molecule: long non-coding RNA, 3410 nt
Filed under: Canis lupus familiaris (dog)
Lineage: Eukaryota; Metazoa; Chordata; Mammalia; Carnivora; Canidae
Description: lncRNA (ENSCAFG00000056279.1)
Source: RNAcentral